ACGAGAGAGAGGGAGCUUGCUUCCUCAAUCGAGUGGCGAACGGGUGAGUAACGCGUGAGGAACCUGCCUCAAAGAGGGGGACAACAGUUGGAAACGACUGCUAAUACCGCAUAAGCCCACAGGUCGGCAUCGACCAGAGGGAAAAGGAGCAAUCCGCUUUGAGAUGGCCUCGCGUCCGAUUAGCUAGUUGGUGAGGUAACGGCCCACCAAGGCAACGAUCGGUAGCCGGACUGAGAGGUUGAACGGCCACAUUGGGACUGAGACACGGCCCAGACUCCUACGGGAGGCAGCAGUGGGGAAUAUUGCACAAUGGGGGAAACCCUGAUGCAGCGACGCCGCGUGGAGGAAGAAGGCCUUCGGAUUGUAAACUCCUGUUGUUGAGGAAGAUAAUGACGGUACUCAACAAGGAAGUGACGGCUAACUACGUGCCAGCAGCCGCGGUAAAACGUAGGUCACAAGCGUUGUCCGGAAUUACUGGGUGUAAAGGGAGCGCAGGCGGGAAGACAAGUUGGAAGUGAAAUCUAUGGGCUCAACCCAUAAACUGCUUU
This 548-nucleotide ribosomal RNA is filed under the name uncultured bacterium. RNAcentral's name for it is "bacterial SSU rRNA". It matches the Rfam family "Bacterial small subunit ribosomal RNA", at positions 66 to 627 of the family's 1533-position model. The record is from RNAcentral.